GCUGGAAUAGCUUAGUUGGCAGAGCGUUAGACUGAAGAUCUAAAGGUCCCUGGUUUGAACGCAGGUUCCAGCA
This is a non-coding RNA of Budorcas taxicolor (takin), 73 nucleotides long. The record is from the annotation of a RefSeq genome assembly. NCBI's taxonomy places the organism in Eukaryota, Metazoa, Chordata, Mammalia, Artiodactyla, Bovidae.